RNAcentral lists this ribosomal RNA (274 nucleotides) under uncultured bacterium. Its description in RNAcentral is "partial 16S ribosomal RNA". It matches the Rfam family "Bacterial small subunit ribosomal RNA", at positions 523 to 796 of the family's 1533-position model. The record is from RNAcentral.
CUACGGAGGGUGCAAGCGUUAUCCGGAAUCAUGGGGUUUAAAGGGUCCGUAGGCGGACUAUUAAGUCAGAGGUGAAAUCCCACAGCUCAACUGUGGAACUGCCUUUGAUACUGGUAGUCUUGAGUUAUAUGGAAGUAGAUAGAAUGUGUAGUGUAGCGGUGAAAUGCAUAGAUAUUACACAGAAUACCGAUUGCGAAGGCAGUCUACUACGUAUAUACUGACGCUAAGGGACGAAAGCGUGGGGAGCGAACAGGAUUAGAAACCCUAGUAGUCC